CUCAAACUGCAGAUCUCAACAUUUAUUUAUCUAAUUCUACUGUUACUACUCACUCUCAUUUUUCUCUAUGCUUCUUCUAUUCUAUGCCCGCCUAUGAAGCUGCUCGCCGAGAACGCAGGGAAUUUAGACGCGGCCAUAGAGCAAUUGCUGAAUGCGGAGAAGCAUGCCAGGCUCGCCGGCGACGUCGCCGCCACCAGAAACGCCGUCACGGAAAUUUUACGGCUAUGCUUCGAAGCGCGUGCCUGGAAAACUCUCAAUGACCAGAUUGUUCUGUUAUCAAAACGACGUGGUCAGCUUAAGCAGGCUGUGACAGCAAUGGUCCAGCAGGCUAUGAAAUAUAUUGAUGAGACACCAGAUCUUGAAACUCGUAUAGAACUCAUCAAAACCUUGAACAGUGUAUCUGCAGGAAAGAUAUAUGUGGAGAUUGAGAGAGCUCGGUUGAUCAAGAAACUUGCAAAGAUUAAGGAAGAACAAGGGCUUAUAGCUGAAGCUGCUGAUUUGAUGCAAGAAAUUGCGGUGGAAACUUUUGGUGCCAUGGCCAAAACUGAGAAAAUUGCUUUCAUUCUUGAACAAGUUCGUUUGUGUCUUGACUGUCAGGAUUAUGUUCGUGCACAAAUACUCUCAAGAAAGAUUAGUACAAGAGUAUUUGAUGCCGAUGUUUCAAAGGAAAAGAAAAAGCCUAAAGAAGGUGAUAAUGUUGUUGAGGAAGCUCCUGCUGAUAUACCAUCUCUACCAGAGUUGAAGCGGAGCUAUUAUGAACUAAUGAUUCGGUAUUAUUCCCAUAAAAAUAAUUAUCUUGAAAUUUGCCGUUGCUACAAGGAAAUAUAUGAGGUUCCAUCCGUCAAAGAGAACCCUGCCGAGUGGAUUCCAAUCCUGAGGAAAAUAUGUUGGUACUUGGUUCUAUCACCACAUGAUCCAAUGCAGUCAAGCCUUCUCAAUUCCACCUUGGAGGAUAAGAAUCUGUCUGAGAUUUCAAACUUUAAGUUACUGUUGAAACAGUUGGUCACUAUGGAGGUUAUCCAGUGGACAGCUCUUUGGGAUGCAUACAAGGAUGAGUUCAAGAACGAGAAUAACUUUGGGAAAAAAUUGGGUGAAAAAGCAGCAGAAGAUCUGAAGGAAAGAGUAAUUGAACAUAAUAUUAUUGUUAUAUCAAAAUACUAUGCAAGGAUUACUUUGAAGAGACUGGCAGAGCUUUUGUGUCAGAGUGUUCAGGAAGCUGAGAAGCAUCUUUCAGAUAUGGUUGUUUCUAAGACAUUGGUAGCGAAGAUUGAUAGACCCAUGGGAAUAGUUUGUUUCCAAUCAGCCAAGGAUAGCAAUGACAUUCUUAACUCAUGGGCAGCAAACUUGGAGAGACUGCUUGAUCUUGUGGAGAAGAGCUGCCAUCAAAUACACAAGGAAACCAUGGUGCAUAAAGCUGCCUUGAAGGUUUAAGAGCACCAUAUCACUAUCAAAAGUUACAGGCGAACCCCAAUAUAGAUGUGAUUUUGGACUGAAGUGCCUUAACUUGAUGUUUCAUUUGAAUUGUUGCUGAUUAGGUUGGUGAGUGUACUUUAUCUCCCUCGAUUGUGAGAGGACGUGUAAAGAUCAAAAAGGAAGCUUUAAAGUGAAAAAAAUAAUUCGAGUUACUUUGCUCAGACGAAAGGAAGAAUUAUAUUACAAGGUUUUGUGGCCUUGGUUCAGACCAUUUAUUUUCCCAUGUUUUAUAAUGAUCUUCACGCGUGUGUUGUGUGCGUACGUAUGUUGUGCCUCGUAUUAUUCACUUUUUGUUAACGAAUUCUUGCUUACGUAGUCGAGUAACGUUGAAAUAUCCGCAUGGUAGUCAACCUCAGGAUCGUUUCUGUCAAA
RNA transcript from Cajanus cajan (pigeon pea), 1845 nucleotides. It is a transcript of the gene named 26S proteasome non-ATPase regulatory subunit 12 homolog A, with no coding region annotated. NCBI's taxonomy places the organism in Eukaryota, Viridiplantae, Streptophyta, Magnoliopsida, Fabales, Fabaceae. The record is from RefSeq and is a predicted model, not a curated record.